RNAcentral lists this ribosomal RNA (1249 nucleotides) under 'Camptotheca acuminata' witches'-broom phytoplasma. RNAcentral describes it as "bacterial SSU rRNA". It matches the Rfam family "Bacterial small subunit ribosomal RNA", at positions 153 to 1399 of the family's 1533-position model. Lineage: Bacteria; Bacillati; Mycoplasmatota; Mollicutes; Acholeplasmatales; Acholeplasmataceae. The record is from RNAcentral.
GAAACGACUGCUAAGACUGGAUAGGAAAUAGAAGGAUAACCUUUUAUUUUUAAAAGACCUUCUUCGGAAGGUAUGCUUAAAGAAGGGCUUGCGCCACAUUAGUUAGUUGGUAGGGUAAAAGCCUACCAAGACUAUGAUGUGUAGCUGGACUGAGAGGUUGAACAGCCACAUUGGGACUGAGACACGGCCCAAACUCCUACGGGAGGCAGCAGUAGGGAAUUUUCGGCAAUGGAGGAAACUCUGACCGAGCAACGCCGCGUGAACGAAGGAGUAUUUAGGUAUGUAAAGUUCUUUUAUUGAAGAAGAAAAAAUAGUGGAAAAACUAUCUUGACGCUAUUCAAUGAAUAAGCCCCGGCUAACUAUGUGCCAGCAGCCGCGGUAAGACAUAGGGGGCGAGCGUUAUCCGGAAUUAUUGGGCGUAAAGGGUGCGUAGGCGGUUAGAUAAGUCUAUAAUUUAAUUUCAGUGCUUAACGCUGUUCUGUUAUAGAAACUGUCUAGCUAGAGUGAGAUAGAGGCAAGUGGAAUUCCAUGUGUAGCGGUAAAAUGUGUAAAUAUAUGGAGGAACACCAGAAGCGUAGGCGGCUUGCUGGGUCUUUACUGACGCUGAGGCACGAAAGCGUGGGUAGCAAACAGGAUUAGAUACCCUGGUAGUCCACGCCGUAAACGAUGAGUACUAAGUGUCGGGGUUAAACUCGGUACUGAAGUUAACACAUUAAGUACUCCGCCUGAGUAGUACGUACGCAAGUAUGAAACUUAAAGGAAUUGACGGGACUCCGCACAAGCGGUGGAUCAUGUUGUUUAAUUCGAAGAUACACGAAAAACCUUACCAGGUCUUGACAUACUCUGCAAAGCUAUAGAAAUAUAGUGGAGGUUAUCAGGGAUACAGGUGGUGCAUGGUUGUCGUCAGCUCGUGUCGUGAGAUGUUAGGUUAGGUCCUAAAACGAGCGCAACCCUUGUCGUUAAUUGCCAGCACGUUAUGGUGGGGACUUUAGCGAGACUGCCAAUUAAAAAUUGGAGGAAGGUGAGGAUUACGUCAAAUCAUCAUGCCCCUUAUGAUCUGGGCUACAAACGUGAUACAAUGGCUGUUACAAAGAGUAGCUGAAAUGCGAGUUUUUAGCCAAUCUCAAAAAAGCAGUCUCAGUUCAGAUUGAAGUCUGCAACUCGACUUCAUGAAGUUGGAAUCGCUAGUAAUCGCGAAUCAGCAUGUCGCGGUGAAUACGUUCGCGGGGUUUGUACACACCGCCCGUCA